GCGUGGAUGAAGAAGGCCUUAGGGUUGUAAAGUCCUUUCACCGGGGAAGAUGAUGACGGUACCCGGAGAAGAAGCCCCGGCUAACUCCGUGCCAGCAGCCGCGGUAAUACGGAGGGGGCUAGCGUUGUUCGGAAUUACUGGGCGUAAAGCGCGCGUAGGCGGUGCAUUCAGUCAGAGGUGAAAGGCCUGGGCUCAACCUGGGAACUGCCUUUGAGACGGAUGCGCUUGAGUUCGGGAGAGGGUAGUGGAAUUCCCAGUGUAGAGGUGAAAUUCGU
Molecule: ribosomal RNA, 275 nt
Filed under: uncultured bacterium
Lineage: Bacteria
Description: partial 16S ribosomal RNA
Rfam family: Bacterial small subunit ribosomal RNA
Source: RNAcentral